This is a long non-coding RNA of Pogonomyrmex barbatus (red harvester ant), 617 nucleotides long. Lineage: Eukaryota; Metazoa; Arthropoda; Insecta; Hymenoptera; Formicidae. The record is from RefSeq and is a predicted model, not a curated record.
GAAAAGGUUGCAUGUCCCGACUUCCUUCGGAGCUACUAGAUUUCCAGGAAUUUCCUAUACAAAAUACCCAGAGAUUGCGAAUCGUAUUGCGUAACGGGUUAAAUGCAAUGAUUGGAAAAAUAUGCUCGAUGAAGAAUGAAAGAAAUAACAUCUUCUGGAAAUGGUAGAAUGACAAUGUAGGCAGAUGAUGUUUGUUAAGACCUACCUGAAUUAUUAUGAUUCUGAUUCUCGUCAGCAAAGUAAGCCAUGUUAGACACGCCUGCAAGCAUGAGCCAUGCAAUGAUCAAUAUGUAUUCAAGCAGAAUAAUAUUCCAGUACAUUUUAGAGCUAAAGUUCACGAUGAAAAACGAAUUUUAUGAUUUAACAAUGUCGAAUUGCGAAUGCGAAUGUAUGAGAAACAUGCUUAUUUUUUUUUCUUCGUACAUUCUUCAUUUUGAGGCAUUCAUAUAAUUUAUGAGGUAAUGAUAAUUUUUUUUAUUUAUUGCCAGUUAUUUAUUCUUGGAUGCAUGCGUAAAUAUACGUGUGCUUUUCUAAUGAAAUAUUUCGCACCUUAUUGUAUGCAAACGAUGCAUUAUAUGCAAAUUCGUAAUAAACAAUUUAUGCACUUGAUAACGGAA